Molecule: ribosomal RNA, 429 nt
Filed under: Fusobacteriota bacterium
Lineage: Bacteria; Fusobacteriati; Fusobacteriota
Description: Fusobacteria bacterium partial 16S ribosomal RNA
Rfam family: Bacterial small subunit ribosomal RNA
Source: RNAcentral
UGGGGAAUCUUCCGCAAUGGACGAAAGUCUGACGGAGCAACGCCGCGUGAGUGAAGACGGCCUUCGGGUUGUAAAGCUCUGUUAUCCGGGAAGAACGAUUCGUUUUUGAACAAUGAACGGAAGUGACGGUACCGAAAGAGAAAGCCACGGCUAACUACGUGCCAGCAGCCGCGGUAAUACGUAGGUGGCAAGCGUUGUCCGGAAUUAUGGGGCGUAAAGAGCGCGUAGGCGGUAUGGUAAGUCUGUCUUAGAAGUGCGGGGCUUAACCCCGUGAGGGGACAGAGACUGUCAUACUGGAGUCUCGGAGAGGAAAGCGGAAUUCCUAGUGUAGCGGUGAAAUGCGUAGAGAUUAGGAAGAACACCGGUGGCGAAGGCGGCUUUCUGGACGAGCACUGACGCUGAGGCGCGAAAGCGUGGGGAGCGAACAGG